UACGAAGGGGGCGAGCGUUGUUCGGAAUUACUGGGCGUAAAGGGCGCGUAGGCGGCGAACCAAGUCAGAUGUGAAAGUCCUGGGCUUAACCUGGGGACUGCAUUUGAUACUGGUUUGCUUGAAUUCGGGAGAGGAUAGCGGAAUUCCCAGUGUAGAGGGUGAAAUUCGUAGAUAUUGGGAAGAACACCGGUGGCGAAGGCGGCUACCUGGUCCAUUACUGACGCUGAGGCGCGACAGCGUGG
This 242-nucleotide ribosomal RNA is filed under the name uncultured bacterium. RNAcentral's name for it is "partial 16S ribosomal RNA". It matches the Rfam family "Bacterial small subunit ribosomal RNA", at positions 524 to 764 of the family's 1533-position model. The record is from RNAcentral.